RNAcentral lists this long non-coding RNA (803 nucleotides) under Equus asinus (donkey). RNAcentral's name for it is "lncRNA (ENSEASG00005028925.1)". The record is from RNAcentral. Lineage: Eukaryota; Metazoa; Chordata; Mammalia; Perissodactyla; Equidae.
CAGUUUUCCUCUGCCCUAGAAACAGUCAAAAGAGAGGAAUUGGCAAAGCCAGCCAAGGAGGACCUGUGGCUCACCCCUAAAUCCAACUGGGAGCCAGUGAGCAAGGGUGCCAAUUGCUGUCUUUUGUAAGGUCGGCCUCCUGGAGCAUAGAGUCAGGUAGAGGAGUGGGGAGAGUGGAUUUGGACGGGCAAAUGAAGACUGUCCGGCAGAGUCGUCCGUCAAUAUUGAAUCCAAGUUCCCACUCUGAAACUGCUUAUAGUCAAGUAGGGAAGAUGAGACUCCACCCAACGUCCACAGCACAGGAGUGAGUCUCAUACAACGGGUCCGAGCAGGACGAGACGCCACUUCAUAUCUGUCACAGCCUGCAGGGGUUCCCCAGCGUCUAGCAAAGCCCAGACUCUAAACCGGCAUUAAAGACUGUCUAUAAUGAGACUCAGGUCCUGUUGAAUCCUCUUCUCACCUGAGUCGUGACCAAACUGGAUGGCUCACUAUUGACCGUCACGUAAGUCGCAAGCACGGCAACUCCACGCUGUGGGUGAAGUGCUUCCUAUGGCCCAGCAGGCCCCGCCCCCUGCUGCCCUCCACCCUUUCCCAUCGCUCAGUGCACAGCCCACUGCUCCAUGAGUCCUGCCCAGCUCACUGCCACUCAGUUUAGCAUGGUUUUCCCUGUGUGUCUGCCGCAUGGUGCUUGCUUGUCUUGGUAGGGUGUGUUUCAUUCAACAAACAUUUUGUUCCACAGACACUUACUGAAUACCUAUUGAGUUCCUGGCACUGUGCAAAAAUGGGGCUACACAGGGAAUGAG